AGGUGUCCGCUGCGAAAUGGGAUGCCUAUGCCUUUUCUCCCCCCUCCACCCAUCGUUGUCCAACGAUGGGUGGCCUUGGCAUAGGCACAUGGUCGUCGGGUUCGGUGGUCGGUCCGGCGGUCUCCGACCGUCCACCGACCGUCGGUCCGGCGACCAUGGUCCGGUCGGAAAAUUUUUUAAAACUCGCUUUUGUUGGAAAUUUUUAAAACUCGGUUCGGUCGGAAAAUUUUAAAACUCGGUCUGGUGGGCUAGUAGUGCUUUGUUGGCUUCUUACGAGGGGAGAGGGACGGUUCAUCUCGGAUUUUGAUUUUUCCAACGUAUUCAAAGGCCCGGCACCAUAUGACCUGGGCUUCGGCCAAGUGGACUUGUGCACGGAGAAUUACUGCGGUCGGUCGAGAUCUGAGUUUUUAACCUCUCGGGGGAAAGCCGCUCUGUGUCUACUUUCUCAUUUGGCCUGUCCCGUCGGAAAAUUUUUAAACUCGGUCUGGUGGGCAAGUAGUGCUGUGUUUGUCUGUUUCGAGAGGAGAGGGCCGGAUUAUCUCGGAUUCUGAUUUUUCCAACGUAUUCGACGAUGGGCGAUCGAUCUUCCAUGGCUUCGGCUUUUGGAUGACCGUGAUCACUGAGAAUACUGCGGUUGGGUCAAGGUUUGAGUUUUAACCUCUCGAGGCAGUGCAACGCUGUCUUUACUUUCUCAUUUGGCCUGUCCCGUCGGGAAUUUUUAAAACUCGGUCUGGUGGGCUAGUAGUGCUUUGUUGGCUUCUUACGAGGGGAGAGGGACGGUUCAUCUCGGAUUUUGAUUUUUCCAACGUAUUCAAAGGCCCGGCACCAUAUGACCUGGGCUUCGGCCAAGUGGACUUGUGCACGGAGAAUUACUGCGGUMKGUCCAUAUCAAAACAUUCCGAAAAAAUGCGGAAGAACUAGCAUGCUUAGGCUUGUGCUAACUUGAUGCAUCAUAAGGUUUGUUGCGGUGGGUUGGGCGUAAUGGAGAGUCGUCGGUUUUUUAAAAGCUUUUCCCUGCCCCUCAAAGGUUUUUGUCCCGUCGAAAAUUUUUAAACAGAUUAUUCGUUAUGCUCCAUAUCAAAACAUUCCGAAAAAAUGCGGAAGAACUAGCAUGCUUAGGCUUGUGCUAACUUGAUGCAUCAUAAGGUUUGUUGCGGUGGGUUGGGCGUAACGGAGAGUCGUCGGUUUUUUCAAAGAUUUUCCUUGCCCCUCAAAGGUUUUUGUCCCUCGGAUUGUGUGUUUCUUCACGUGAAGCGGUGUUGGUGUGGUCUUGCUUGACGUUUCCGCAUGCUCAGCGGUUCUAGUAAUCGUUGGGUUGUGGUUCGUUUGGUUGGGUCGUCAUCAAACGUACGCAACUCAUGUGUGAGUGGUGGUUGGAUGGAAUGGGCCUGCAAGCUCCUUGCUCAGCGCAACGAAUUGUGAGGUCUCCGUCCUUUUCAUAGCCUUCCCCAAGCAUGGUCAUUUGCCUUGUGGGUAAGAACGGUAUCCUGUGUUUUCUACCAAUUGAAUGGAAUUCGAUUGUUUUCGUUUCUCUAUUCGCUCGGUUCCUUUAGGGGUGUUGGGUGGACGAUAGGCUGACCUCGUGUUCCAGGUACAUCUCGCAUUUUUGUGUGGUCACCAUGGCCCAUGGGGUUACGCUUGUUCUCUUGGAUCCGGAUCGUUAGUUGUGGGCGAGGGGUUACGACCUCCAUUCGUCCAAGCUAUUAUGCAUCUGUCAAUCGACACGAACGACUGCUGCACUCGUCUUGGCUUGUACGGUCGAACGGCCGUACGAUGUCCAUGCGAGUGUCGGUGUCGUGAAGGAAUGC
Molecule: unclassified non-coding RNA, 1808 nt
Filed under: Acer pycnanthum
Lineage: Eukaryota; Viridiplantae; Streptophyta; Magnoliopsida; Sapindales; Sapindaceae
Description: external transcribed spacer
Source: RNAcentral